Molecule: ribosomal RNA, 253 nt
Filed under: uncultured bacterium
Lineage: Bacteria
Description: partial 16S ribosomal RNA
Rfam family: Bacterial small subunit ribosomal RNA
Source: RNAcentral
UACAGAGGGGGCAAGCGUUGUUCGGAAUUACUGGGCGUAAAGGGCGCGUAGGCGGCCUGUUAAGUCGAACGUGAAAUCCCCGGGCUCAACCCGGGAACUGCGUCCGAUACUGGCAGGCUUGAAUUCGGGAGAGGGAUGCGGAAUUCCAGGUGUAGCGGUGAAAUGCGUAGAUAUCGUAAGGAAGACCAGUGGCGAAGGCGGGUCUCUGGACAGUUCCUGACGCUGAGGCACGAAGGUCAGGGGAGCAAACGGG